GAUGGACGCUGGCGGCGUGCCUAAUACAUGCAAGUCGAGCGAACGGACGAGAAGCUUGCUUCUCUGAUGUUAGCGGCGGACGGGUGAGUAACACGUGGAUAACCUACCUAUAAGACUGGGAUAACUUCGGGAAACCGUAGCUAAUACCGGAUAAUAUUUUGAACCGCAUGGUUCAAAAGUGAAAGACGGUCUUGCUGUCACUUAUAGAUGGAUCCGCGCUGCAUUAGCUAGUUGGUAAGGUAACGGCUUACCAAGGCAACGAUGCAUAGCCGACCUGAGAGGGUGAUCGGCCACACUGGAACUGAGACACGGUCCAGACUCCUACGGGAGGCAGCAGUAGGGAAUCUUCCGCAAUGGGCGAAAGCCUGACGGAGCAACGCCGCGUGAGUGAUGAAGGUCUUCGGAUCGUAAAACUCUGUUAUUAGGGAAGAACAUAUGUGUAAGUAACUGUGCACAUCUUGACGGUUCCUAAUCAGAAAGCCACGGCUAACUACGUG
RNAcentral lists this ribosomal RNA (497 nucleotides) under uncultured bacterium. RNAcentral's name for it is "partial 16S ribosomal RNA". It matches the Rfam family "Bacterial small subunit ribosomal RNA", at positions 28 to 507 of the family's 1533-position model. The record is from RNAcentral.